CGGAGGAAAAGGCGGGGGAGGUUAUGUAUGAUCAAAUACUUUUCAACCAAGAGAAGGGAAGGGGUUUUCGCCUUCACGGUGGCGGUGGUGGCAGCUCUUCGCGGGAUGACUAUGGUUAUAUAUAUAUAUAUACUACUACCAAUGCACAACCACUUUUGUUACACUUCCGAGAGGUCUUGACCGGUAUGUGUCUCCCAUUAUGAAGACAAGGAUAGAUUACUCUUGACAGCUGACUGGGUUUAUGAAUGCGUUAGUCAGAUAACUUUCAUCCAAAGGAAUUGACUACACAAGACCGAGAUGCAGGGUUUGGCUUGACAAGUCAGUUUCAUACAUAGUCUGUGCCAAUGGCCUCAAGGGACAAUAGCUGCCGUAAAGGUGAGGUGGACAACAAACUCGUUGAAACUGGAAGGGAACAGGUUUUUCCGUGGUAGUAAGAAGGCAAAACUUUUGAGAGAUGGUGAAGAAAGUGAUGCGUUUCCAACCAAGUUACUUUGCUCGUCAGGAGAUGCCAUUGGUUGUGGAAAUGACGUAGUAGCAAGUGGUCGUGAAGUUCCUGAUGUGGCUGAUACUACUGAGGAUCUGUUGGAGCAAACAAGUAAAGUGGAUAAACAGGGUACUCGUAAUCCGCCAGGAUACUUACGGAAACUUUAGUGAGACGCAGACCGAAUCGCAGGUUAUAUAACUCUUACUCUGAAAAUAAUACCUUUGGAGUUUUCCAUAGUUAAAUCUUUACAAGUCUGGAUAAUAGUCAGGUUUCUAAAUCCCAGUUCUGAAUUUAAAAAAAAAAAAAAAAAAAAAACUGCACCUAAACUUGAUUCCAAAUAGCUGACUCUUAAUCUUUGCUUGCUUGAGCGGGUAACUCUCAUGUUCCAGUUUAUAUCUUAAUUCUGCUAGUAGUUUAACCAUGUUCUUGUAAAAUGUAUCUUCCUUUCAACAUUGAGUUUGUUACUCUACGAAGGUAGUCUCUGUGGUGGGGGAACUUGUUGCAUCUUAUACCUGCGUAUACAGCCUAAAAACUUGUGAUUCUACCACUUGACAAAGAAAAUUUGCAGGUUGUUGGCUACGAGAAAGAUCUUUCAGGAAGGCAGAUGCUAAUCGUUAAAG
Brassica napus (rape) is the source of this 1104-nucleotide long non-coding RNA. RefSeq lists it as uncharacterized. The record is from RefSeq and is a predicted model, not a curated record. The transcript is spliced from 3 exons. Lineage: Eukaryota; Viridiplantae; Streptophyta; Magnoliopsida; Brassicales; Brassicaceae.